UAGUCUCGCACAGAUGCAUAUCAAUAAGCGGAGGAAAAGAAACUAACAAGGAUUCCCCUAGUAACGGCGAGUGAAGCGGGAAGAGCUCAAAUUUGAAAUCUUAAAGGGUUUCCCUUUACGAAUUGUAGUUUAAAGAAGUGUUUUCUGUUGAGGUUUUGGUAAAGUUCUUUGGAAUAGGACAUCAUAGAGGGUGAGAAUCCCGUAUUUGACCUUUACUUUCAACUUUGUGAUACACUUUCAAAGAGUCGGAUUGUUUGGGAAUGCAGUCCAAAAUGGGUGGUAAAUUUCAUCUAAAGCUAAAUAUUGGCGAGAGACCGAUAGCGAACAAGUACCGUGAGGGAAAGAUGAAAAGAACUUUGAAAAGAGAGUUAAACAGUACGUGAAAUUGUCAAAAGGGAAGCGUUUGACACCAGUGUUGUUUUUCUGAAAAUCAAUUAAAGAACUGUUUAUGCUAAGUUGUUUAGACUUUAUCAGCUAACUGUUUAGUUUUGAGCUUUUCUUUAAUGCACUUUUCAGUUAACAAGUCAACAUCAAUUUCUUUUGCUGUAAAAAAGCUUGAGGAAGGUGGCUUGAGAUUCGUCUUAAGUGUUUAUAGCCUCUUGCCUAUGCAGUCGGAGAGAUUGAGGUCUGCAGCGUAGAUCCUUCGGGGCUAAAUGCAUUUGUGCUAAGUUAUAGCAUUUUAUAGACAACUUGUUGACUAUGAUUUGUCUUGUAGCUUACUCGCUUAUGUUAUUUUACCUACGCUUAGGAUGUUGAUCUGUAGUGCGUGCGC
Molecule: ribosomal RNA, 772 nt
Filed under: uncultured Neocallimastigales
Lineage: Eukaryota; Fungi; Neocallimastigomycota; Neocallimastigomycetes; Neocallimastigales
Description: partial large subunit ribosomal RNA
Rfam family: Eukaryotic large subunit ribosomal RNA
Source: RNAcentral